GGAGAGGUAACUGAGGCAUGGAGAUAGGUGAGCACACCCCGUCCCCUGCCUGGCCACUGCAAGUCUCUGCAAGAGAAGCCCCUAAAAGCCAGCCCAGCCCUGGACCGUGGCUCAGACACCACUGAGGACACAGCAAGAAUACAGCUGUCCCCAAGCCAGGAAGAGGGUCCUCCACCAGGAACCAAAUCUCGGGCAUUCUGAACUUGGACUUCCCAGGUUCCAAAAACGUGAGAAGUCACUUUCUGUUGCUUAUGCCACCCAGUCUGGUGUUUUGUUAUGGCAUCAGCAACAGCCUUUUCCUCCUCAACUAACCACAGAAUUUUUUUAAUUUUUA
This is a long non-coding RNA of Leopardus geoffroyi (Geoffroy's cat), 334 nucleotides long. RefSeq lists it as uncharacterized. NCBI's taxonomy places the organism in Eukaryota, Metazoa, Chordata, Mammalia, Carnivora, Felidae. The record is from RefSeq and is a predicted model, not a curated record. The transcript is spliced from 2 exons.